GCUGAGGUGGUCCAGUGGUAUGAUACCGGGACAGCAACACCGGAGAUCGCCAGUUCGAAUCUGGCCCUCAGCA
Molecule: non-coding RNA, 73 nt
Organism: Hypoxylon sp. FL1150
Lineage: Eukaryota; Fungi; Ascomycota; Sordariomycetes; Xylariales; Hypoxylaceae
Source: the annotation of a GenBank genome assembly